This 254-nucleotide ribosomal RNA is filed under the name uncultured bacterium. Its description in RNAcentral is "partial 16S ribosomal RNA". It matches the Rfam family "Bacterial small subunit ribosomal RNA", at positions 524 to 776 of the family's 1533-position model. The record is from RNAcentral.
GACGUAGGGCGCGAGCGUUGUCCGGAUUUAUUGGGCGUAAAGAGCUCGUAGGCGGCUUGUCGCGUCGACCGUGAAAACUUGGGGCUCAACCCCAAGCCUGCGGUCGAUACGGGCAGGCUCGAGUUCGGUAGGGGAGACUGGAAUUCCUGGUGUAGCGGUGAAAUGCGCAGAUAUCAGGAGGAACACCGGUGGCGAAGGCGGCAUCCUGGACCAACACUGACGCUGAGUGAGCGAAAGCCAGGGGAGCAAACGGG